RNAcentral lists this ribosomal RNA (425 nucleotides) under uncultured bacterium. Its description in RNAcentral is "bacterial SSU rRNA". It matches the Rfam family "Bacterial small subunit ribosomal RNA", at positions 354 to 796 of the family's 1533-position model. The record is from RNAcentral.
GUGGGGGAUAUUGCACAAUGGGGGAAACCCUGAUGCAGCAACGCCGCGUGAAGGAAGAAGGUCUUCGGAUUGUAAACUUUUGUCUUGUGGGAAGAUAAUGACGGUACCACAGGAGGAAGCUCCGGCUAACUACGUGCCAGCAGCCGCGGUAAUACGUAGGGAGCGAGCGUUGUCCGGAUUUACUGGGUGUAAAGGGUGCGUAGGCGGCUAGACAAGUCAGGUGUGAAAUACCGCAGCUCAACUGCGGGGCUGCACUUGAAACUGUAGAGCUUGAGUGAUGGAGAGGUAAGCGGAAUUCCUAGUGUAGCGGUAAAAUGCGUAGAUAUUAGGAGGAACACCAGUGGCGAAGGCGGCUUACUGGACAUUAACUGACGCUGAGGCACGAAAGCGUGGGGAGCAAACAGGAUUAGAAACCCUAGUAGUCC